Molecule: ribosomal RNA, 412 nt
Filed under: Triticum aestivum (bread wheat)
Lineage: Eukaryota; Viridiplantae; Streptophyta; Magnoliopsida; Poales; Poaceae
Description: partial small subunit ribosomal RNA
Source: RNAcentral
GCUGUACUCCUCAAAUUUGCCUUGCAUUUUCACUGGGGACUUCAACCUUAUUGCCGAGGCCACUGACAAGAACAACAACAACUUGAACAGAAGAACAAUGGCUGCAUUCAGAAGAUUUAUCAACGAACUUGAGCUGCGAGAGAUGUACUUGCAUGGAAGAAAAUACACUUGGACCAACGAGCAGCAGAACGCAACAAAGGUCAAAUUGGACAGGGUUCUCUUCAAUGACCCGUGGAUGUUGGCAUAUCCUUGCUGCAUCCUUGCCGCUCUUGCUACGGAUCUUUCCGAUCACUGCCCCUUGCUACUUUCAACUGAUGCAACCUUUCAGCCACCGAGACACUUCCGAUUUGAUAAUUACUGGACUACUUUUGGGGGCUUCUCCCAGGUGGUCCUCGAUUGCUGGUCGCAGCCC